This 185-nucleotide microRNA precursor is filed under the name Oryza barthii. RNAcentral's name for it is "MIR812 microRNA precursor family". It matches the Rfam family "MIR812 microRNA precursor family". The record is from Rfam by way of RNAcentral. Lineage: Eukaryota; Viridiplantae; Streptophyta; Magnoliopsida; Poales; Poaceae.
GGACAAAGAGAGUAUAAGUUUCCGUGUCCAACUUUUCGUCUUAUUUAAAAUUUUUCUAUAAUUAGCAUAUUUAUUGUUAUUAGAUGAUAAAAUAUGAGUAAUACUUUAUGCAUGACUUCUGUUUUUAAUUUUUUUUUAAAAAUAAAACGAACUAUUAAAAUUACUCACGUAAAUACGCAUGGAUA